RNAcentral lists this long non-coding RNA (250 nucleotides) under Medicago truncatula (barrel medic). Its description in RNAcentral is "lncRNA gene45785". Lineage: Eukaryota; Viridiplantae; Streptophyta; Magnoliopsida; Fabales; Fabaceae. The record is from RNAcentral.
UGACAGUGAUUUGAAGUUUUUAAGGUAAAAAAAAAUACAAUGAAGAUGGCCCGUCUUUUGCUUAGUUAUGCAUUGUGACAUUCGCAACAUCUUCUAAAUCAAAAUGGGUUGUAAUAAAAGGCGUGGGUUGCAUUCUAGUAUGGAAUGAUAAUCUAGACUUCUCCCAACAUUUUUAAUCACUUCAAUUACUUGUCUGUCUACUAUUAUCACUCUUCUUCCUGCGUUGAUUACAAUCUUUAUUCUGAUCCUU